Molecule: ribosomal RNA, 460 nt
Filed under: uncultured bacterium
Lineage: Bacteria
Description: partial 16S ribosomal RNA
Rfam family: Bacterial small subunit ribosomal RNA
Source: RNAcentral
CCUACGGGGGGCAGCAGUGAGGAAUAUUGGUCAAUGGGCGCGAGCCUGAACCAGCCAAGCAGCGUGAAGGAUGACUGCCCUACGGGUUGUAAACUUCUUUUAUAAAGGAAUAAAGUGAGGCACGUGUGCCUUGUUGUAUGUACUUUAUGAAUAAGGAUCGGCUAACUCCGUGCCAGCAGCCGCGGUAAUACGGAGGAUCCGAGCGUUAUCCGGAUUUAUUGGGUUUAAAGGGGGAGUAGAUGGGGUGUUAAGUCAGUUGUGAAAGUUUGCGGAUCAACCGGAAAAUCGCAAUUGAAACUGGCAGUCUUGAGUACAGUAGAGGUAGGCGGAAUUCGUGGUGUAGCGGUGAAAUGCGUAGAUAUCACGAAGAACUCCGAUUGCGAAGGCAGCUUACUAGACUGCCACUGACACUGAUGCUCGAAAGUGUGGGUAUCAAACAGGAUUAGAUACCCCAGUAGUC